Molecule: ribosomal RNA, 2134 nt
Filed under: Cyanobium sp. CZS_43A
Lineage: Bacteria; Bacillati; Cyanobacteriota; Cyanophyceae; Synechococcales; Prochlorococcaceae
Description: bacterial SSU rRNA
Rfam family: Bacterial small subunit ribosomal RNA (bases 1-1471)
Source: RNAcentral
GAUCCUGGCUCAGGAUGAACGCUGGCGGCGUGCUUAACACAUGCAAGUCGAACGAGCCUUCGGGCGAGUGGCGGACGGGUGAGUAACGCGUGGGAAUCUGCCCUCAGGAGGGGGAUAACGGCUGGAAACGGCCGCUAAUACCCCAUAUGCCGAGAGGUGAAAUGAAUUUCGCCUGAGGAUGAGCCCGCGUCUGAUUAGCUAGUUGGUGGGGUAAUGGCCCACCAAGGCGACGAUCAGUAGCUGGUCUGAGAGGAUGAUCAGCCACACUGGGACUGAGACACGGCCCAGACUCCUACGGGAGGCAGCAGUGGGGAAUUUUCCGCAAUGGGCGAAAGCCUGACGGAGCAACGCCGCGUGAGGGAUGAAGGCCUCUGGGCUGUAAACCUCUUUUCUCAAGGAAGAAGACAUGACGGUACUUGAGGAAUAAGCCACGGCUAAUUCCGUGCCAGCAGCCGCGGUAAUACGGGAGUGGCAAGCGUUAUCCGGAAUUAUUGGGCGUAAAGCGUCCGCAGGCGGCCUUGUAAGUCUGUCGUUAAAGCGUGGAGCUUAACUCCAUUUCAGCGAUGGAAACUACAAGGCUUGAGUGUGGUAGGGGCAGAGGGAAUUCCCGGUGUAGCGGUGAAAUGCGUAGAUAUCGGGAAGAACACCAGUGGCGAAGGCGCUCUGCUGGGCCAUAACUGACGCUCAUGGACGAAAGCCAGGGGAGCGAAAGGGAUUAGAUACCCCUGUAGUCCUGGCCGUAAACGAUGAACACUAGGUGUCGGGGGAAUCGACCCCCUCGGUGUCGUAGCUAACGCGUUAAGUGUUCCGCCUGGGGAGUACGCACGCAAGUGUGAAACUCAAAGGAAUUGACGGGGGCCCGCACAAGCGGUGGAGUAUGUGGUUUAAUUCGAUGCAACGCGAAGAACCUUACCAGGGUUUGACAUCCUGCGAAUCCCUUGGAAACGAGGGAGUGCCUUCGGGAGCGCAGAGACAGGUGGUGCAUGGCUGUCGUCAGCUCGUGUCGUGAGAUGUUGGGUUAAGUCCCGCAACGAGCGCAACCCACGUCUUUAGUUGCCAGCAUUCAGUUGGGCACUCUAGAGAGACCGCCGGUGAUAAACCGGAGGAAGGUGUGGAUGACGUCAAGUCAUCAUGCCCCUUACAUCCUGGGCUACACACGUACUACAAUGCUACGGACAAAGGGUUGCAAGCUCGCGAGAGUUAGCUAAUCCCAUAAACCGUGGCUCAGUUCAGAUCGUAGGCUGCAACUCGCCUACGUGAAGGAGGAAUCGCUAGUAAUCGCAGGUCAGCAUACUGCGGUGAAUACGUUCCCGGGCCUUGUACACACCGCCCGUCACACCAUGGAAGUUGGCCAUGCCCGAAGUCGUUACUCCAACCCUUGUGGAGGAGGACGCCGAAGGUGGGGCUGAUGACUGGGGUGAAGUCGUAACAAGGUAGCCGUACCGGAAGGUGCGGCUGGAUCACCUCCUAACAGGGAGACACAACUGAUCGUGAUGUCUGAGCGCCGACCAAGCGAAAGUUUGGGGAGCACAUUUGUCUCAGGCCACGGUCCUGUCAUCUCGAAGGUCGAUCGGUACCUCAAGGUGAGCCAUCAAACCCACGGAAGACCCAAAAGGAUCGAAAGAGACUGAAGGGAAUCAAGAGGCUGUUGUGAUGGACUCGUUUUCAGUUCCUAAACUUUGUCUAGGUCACCCCACAAAGGGUUUCACUGUUGCUUGAUGGGUUCUGAUCCUGAAAGGGAGAGGAAACAAAGGGCAAUGGUAGGGAUCCGAGUCAGAGUGAUUGUUCCUGGGCCAUUAGCUCAGGUGGUUAGAGCGCACCCCUGAUAAGGGUGAGGUCCCUGGUUCAAGUCCAGGAUGGCCCAUUCGUGUUUGGGGGUUUAGCUCAGUUGGUAGAGCGCCUGCUUUGCAAGCAGGAUGUCAGCGGUUCGAGUCCGCUAACCUCCAUCCAACCAGGUUAAGACCACAACAUGAAGCUGCAUCAGAGGAAUUCUGAUGGGUGAAGUGACCAAGACGAUGUUCAGCUGAGACUCCAGCCUCCUUUCAUUCCCCCCAUGUUGGCUCGAUGGUAUCGAGAAGCCAACAGAAAAGUUGAAAGGAAGCUGGACUCGCUGAUCAGCGGCGCGAGCCCGAUG